GCACGGUAACGUGUGGAGCUGACUGUUACUAAUCGAUCGAGGGCUUGACCAA
RNAcentral lists this ribosomal RNA (52 nucleotides) under Roseburia intestinalis. RNAcentral's name for it is "partial 23S ribosomal RNA". The record is from RNAcentral. Lineage: Bacteria; Bacillati; Bacillota; Clostridia; Lachnospirales; Lachnospiraceae.